GGGGGAAUUAUUCCUGAGGGGAUUCGCCCUUUAGGGAGCGGCUCAUUCCUGAGGGGAGACCCGGAGUGGGGAUGCGGGUGCGAGGCUGUUCUUCAAAGCGGGGUUUGAUCUGUGAGGAGGGCGGUUUGUGCGGAGGAAAAAAGGGCUGUCGCUGAGGCGAUGUGGAAUGGGGAUAGGGCCGGCCCUGAGGGAGCGGGAUGUGGGGACAUUUUGCAGGGGAAGUAGAGUGGGGACAGAGCGGUGGUUCCUGAGGGUUUGUGCUGUGGGGAUGGAGCUGCGGGCUGUGCCCAGCGGGAGGAGGGCGCUGGUGCUGGGAGUUCAGGAUGAGGCGGGUGGGGCUCAGCUGCUUUUCAGCGCUGCGAUUGACAGACAGAAGCUUUGGUCAUCGCUGUGGAAUUCCUGGUAUGAGAAGGCAGAGUCAGGGUAGAGAGAAGAUCCUUGCUGAACUGCUGCAAUGAUGAAGACAGUGAUUUUAAUUGUCCUAAUCACCUUUUCUUUGCUGGCUUCAGGAAAGAAAUUCCGAUGGUGCACCCUUUCUGACCUGGAACAAAGAAAGUGUGCUGAGCUUUCCAAAGCACUUACAGCUGUGCUGCCCCUCACUACUGCCAGUUCCUUUACUAGGAUUUCUUGCAUCAGAGCCCACAAUACAUAUGACUGCAUUGAUAAAAUAAGGGCAAAUAAAGCAGAUGCUGCCUCCUUGGAUGCUGGAGAUGUUUACUCUGCUGUAAAGCUGUACGGUUUGACAGUGGUGGCAAAAGAGAUCUAUGAUCAAGGAAAUUGUGUGUUUGCUGUGGCCAUUGCCAAACGAGGAACUCUGGAUAUCCAGAGUCUACGAGGUGUGCGAAGCUGUCACAAUGGAGCCAGGUGGACAUCGGGCUGGAAUAUUCCACUUGGCUUCCUCCUUGCAAGAAAUUCUCUUUCCUGGGAUGAGGCCCAACCUCUGAGCCAAGCAAUUAGUGAGUAUUUCAAUGCAAGUUGCAUCCCUGGAGUUGGUGUUGCUGCUCCUCAGUUGUGUGCUCUCUGCCAAGGACAAAAGUCCUAUGUCCGAGACAGGAACCACUUCUGUGAGACAAGCAGUAAUGAACCCUUCUAUGACUCUGAGGGAGCCUUCAGGUGCUUGAAGGAUGGAGUGGCAGAUGUUGCUUUUUUAGAUCAUCUACGAAUUAUGAGUGCCACAGAGUCAGAACAACAGGAAUAUGAACUCUUAUGUCCUGAUGGGUCCACAGCUGAGCUGACUGAAUACAGCACCUGUAACCUGGGCAAGGGGCCUGGCCGUGGUAUCGUCACCCGCAACAACUUCCAGAAGAUCACCAACAAAUUUCUUAGCAUGAUCCAACGCCUCUUUGGGCAUAAAGGAAAGGAAAGAGCCAGAUUUGAACUCUUCAGUUCAGCACCGUUUGGGGGAAAGAACCUGCUGUUCCGAGAUGCCACUCAGCACCUGCAGCUUCUUGAGGAGCAGCUGGAGAUUGCCUAUGUCCUUGGUCUGGAUUAUGUAGCUCUCCUUAAGGGACUCGGCCAUGAAGGGAGCUCUUUGGACAACAGCGUUGUGCGCUGGUGCUGCAUCAGUGAUGCUGAGCUUCGCAAAUGUGAGGAGUGGGCACUGAACAUCAAAUCUGACCCAUUAGUCUGUGUCCAAGCCACUUCCAUGACCAAAUGCAUUGAAAUGAUCAAGAGUAGUGAGGCUGAUGCAGUCACCCUGGACGCAACACAUGUGUACAUUGCAGGGAGAUGUGGACUGGUGCCUGUAGCUGCAGAAUGCUAUGGGGGAGAUUGUGCUCCAGCAGCUGAGACCAUGGAGAAAACAGGAAAACUAAUUCAUCUUCAACACAAAGCACUACCACCGGUUUAUGCUGUUGCUCUAGCUAAGAAAAGUGCCAAACAGAUUCACAUCCAUAACCUUAGGGGAAGGAGAUCCUGCCACAGUCACCUGUACAGUCCUGGAGGAUGGUUACUUCUGUCCAGACACACAGUGGGAGCUUGGCAGAAUGAUACUGAGAACUGUGAUAUUGCCUCUGCUUAUCAGAAUUACUUUUGGAAGGGCUGCAUGCCAGGAGCAGAUGGAAACCUGUGCAAGGUGUGCAUUGGAGAUGGUGAGGUGGAAGGAGCUCGAGUGUCCAGCAGAUGUGCUGCAAGUCACAAUGAACGUUACUAUGGCAAUAUGGGAGCACUCAGGUGCCUAGUUGGCAAUCCCAGUGGAAGAAGCUUUGGAGAUGUAGCUUUCCUGGAACACUCAAACCUGCUCCAGAACAUAGAGGAUCUGGGCAGCUCUGGUUGGGCAAAAGGUUAUACCCCCCUUGACUUUGAACUCUUGUGUCCGGACGGAACACGCGCCGCAGUCACGGAAUGGGCAGGCUGUAACCUUGGCCCCAUUCCCCCCAGCACUGUCAUGACUCGCCCAGUCACUGUCACUAAAAUCUCUGACUUCCUACUGAAAUCUCAGGUGUGACAGGAAUCUCUGGGAAGUGAAUUGGAUUCUGAAUUCCAGCUCUUUCAGUCCUGGAAGUAUGGUGAAAGUGAUCUGCUUUUUAAAGACACCACUCAGUACCUUGUUCAUGCAAGUCAUCUGAGCUAUCAGAAGAUCCUUGGAGAGUCUUUCAUUCAGCUGGCAGAAUCAGUGUUUAAUUGCACACCUGCAGGCAUCUUGGACUUCUGCAAACAGGAUAUCUGUGCCUCCUCAUCCAACUGACAGCUCAUACAGAGGCUUUGCAGGGCACGUACCAUCAGCAUUGCUGCCAAGAACAAGGAAAACGUGCAAGUCCAACCAAUCCAAAGCAAUUAGCAAGGAAACAAUCAUCUCCAGAGAUGUAUGCUGAACACCUUCUUGUCUUUUUUUUUUUUUUUAAUCAGAUUUUAUGUUUAUGAUGAUGUAAUACUACUCAUAUAUCAUCCCUUUCUUUUUUGGAGCAUGGCAGCAUGGGGAACAGCACAACCAACAGCAGAGAACUAGGAUCAGCAUUGUGGAAAGAGCAGGGCCAGUACCAUGGACUGAAAUACAGACUUGGUAUGAGUAGUACAGGUUAGUUGGUAGCAUUUUGCCUUGUUUGUCUUAUAAAUAGUUUCCAUGCAAAAAGCCCAAUCAACUGACAUUUUGGUAGUUGCAACAUUGUCUUCUGUAUCUGUGAUUUUGGUUGCAGCUCAAUAGCCCCUGCUGAAUGCGCAUCUAUAUUUCUUCUUCAACCAAUUGUUUUUUACUAGUAAAUCAAAACUUUUUUUUCUCACAAUAAAUGUAUUACACAUUUAAUAGCCAGCACAGCUGGAUGCUUGCAGCAGUGGAUAUUCCUUUGUCAAGACCUCCAACCAUUACUUUAUAUUGAUGCUUUGAAUUUAAGAUUCUCUGAAAUGUCAAAAUACUAUCUAUCAAUUAAACACCAAAAGUUUUACAAGCAGAAACUGCCUGAACAUGAUCUGAAGCCUUUUGAACAGAAAUCAUCUGUUCAUCAUCACUUUCCUGUCUUGUUCCAGUAUGGUUACAGAGCCAAAUCCUCAGAUGCAUUUGCAGCCAGCAAGCUGCAGCCCUGAAGGAGCAGGGAAAGAGCAGGAUGCUUCUUUAGGCCUCUCAGGUGUUCCUGCCUUUCUUUCCUAGAGCUUCCCUGCCAUCUGUGGGGCCCGUGUGACACUGCACUCGGGAGAAGACAGUUCUGAGAACACGGUGAAGAAAUGCAUCUGGCAGCCUAGCUCUGCCAAGAGCAGCAUGCAGCUGAUCAGGGAUAAAUUAAAAAUCUGGGUUAUACACAAAAUUUUAUGGGUUGGGAGGGGAGAGAUCUUUUCUGACACAGACAUUACGAAUGCUUACUAGGCCUUGAUGAUCCCAUGCUCCAGCUUUGAUUCACAAGCAUCAGUGUGCCACCUUGCACAGCCUGUGGUACAUGAACCACUGCCCAGCCUCAGUCUUGAAUCUCAGAUCUGAGCUGAGCAGAAACUGUUUGUGCUUUCUGUGCUCUCUGGCUCUUGCUACCCUGCUUUCUGAAGAGAGGGAUGCUGCCUCAGUACUCUGAAUAGUAGCCGAGAUCACGCUUAAUAUCUCUCAGGCUGGGAUGAAGAAACACCAGAACUGCUGCUUUGUGUCUCAGUAACAGCACACCCUGUUACCAAACAGUGCCGAUCUCUUUGGAGAUUUGGCCUUUCCCCCUGCAUGUAAGACAUAUUAUCAUGCAUAUUUACCCAUACAAGCUUAAAGGCCUUAAAAACCUGAAAAGUUCUCAGAAAAAUUUAUUUCCAUAAAUUAAAAACACACACAAAAGAAACAGUAAAAUUUUAGAUUCACACAAUAUUGAACAUAAACAAAAUGCCAAGAGCAUGAUGGAGGCUAAUGGCACAAAUGUACAAAUUCUCAUUGAGCUAUUUGUUACCUUGAUAGCAUCAUACAGACUUUUAAUCCACAGUUACUAUCCACAUUCUAGAAAAGCACCUGGAACAUAAUAUACCAAAGGCCCACCUGAAAUAAAAUACAAUGAAUGAGAACUGCUUGCAGGAAGUCAUAUCCAGCAAGCACCAGAACUCAAACGUAUGCAGACACAAGCCAGAUAGGAAAAUGCUGUACCAUACAUUAAGGAGCUUUAGCUACUCCAGUCUUAGCAUGAUGAAAACUAUGAUUUUUUUUUCUUCUUUCUUCUUUUUUUUUUUUUUUAAAGUGAUCCUUCCAUCCCUGACAAUCAGCAAAUUUAUCAAAGAGCUGCCUGGCUCUACUAAGAGACAGGACAUGGCAAAAGCUUUGCAAUCCUUUUCAAGCUGUUCUGGCCAUCAGUCUGAUAUACUUUCCAUGGUGAUACAAAAACUGGAAUGGGUCCACUUAAUGAAAAGGCAAGUGUACAUAUCCUUCUUUUUGUACAUAUUCUUUUUCCUUUAAUUAGCUGUGACAGAAGCAGCUCAGAAUGGCAAAUGCUCAGCUUUUUCCCAGUUAUCACUCCCAGUGUACAAGCAGCAGCCACAAGGAACAUAGCUGUUCCCUGAGUGCUGUAAACAGAAACAGAGGUGGGAAAGGGAAAAACAAAAAAGUGCAUAAGCAGGACUGACACCUGUAUGCUGGAGAGGGGAAGAGAUACUUGGUCUCCACUAGAUUACAUUGUCAUACAAACACUAAACCAAAAGAGAAUAAUGCUGUGUAUUUGGGUUUCCACAAACUAAAGGUCUGCGAGAAGCUAAACAACUGCAACAUCAUUUUGCAACUCCUCCAAUUACUGUAAACUGAAGAGUAUUUGAGUGUUUUCUUUGCUCUUUCUCCUGUAGCUUGUAGGAAAAAAGUUAAUAAAUCUUAUUUCAAUGCAAUCAGAAACGAGAGAGCGGGGAAGAGAAAAAAAACCAAACCCACCCUAAACAAAACUCAACAUAACCCAAAGGAAAAGACUCAACACAUUCCAUGUUUUGAAGCACAUUAGAGGUCUGAACUUCUGGA
Molecule: non-coding RNA, 5392 nt
Organism: Taeniopygia guttata (zebra finch)
Lineage: Eukaryota; Metazoa; Chordata; Aves; Passeriformes; Estrildidae
Source: RefSeq, a predicted model, not a curated record